Long non-coding RNA from Peromyscus californicus insignis, 10378 nucleotides. RefSeq lists it as uncharacterized. NCBI's taxonomy places the organism in Eukaryota, Metazoa, Chordata, Mammalia, Rodentia, Cricetidae. The transcript is spliced from 12 exons. The record is from RefSeq and is a predicted model, not a curated record.
AGCACACGCCCUUAAUGCUAUCACUUAUCAGGCAGGGUCUCUGUGUGUUCAAGGCCAUACUAGGGAACACAGUCAAGUGUGGUGACACACACCUUUAAUCCCAGUACUAACCAUAGAAACCUGGAGGUCUGUACAGACAGACAGUGAUAAGGAAGUGAGGCAGCUGGGCUAACAUAGCCAAUGAGAGAGUAAAACAACAAGGUAAUAAAGGUGUGGGUAGACAGGAAGUAGCUUGUAUUUGGAAGCUGCAGAGUUGGUGAGGUAAAGUUGGCUGAUGGUUUUCCCUAUUUCCCUUACUACCACCACACUAGGUAGCUGCUUUGAAAUUCCCUCAGACUUCUACUGUUCUGUACAGCUGACAGAUUUGGUAAGUCAAUUAAGAUAUCUUAAAGGAUGAAAUUAGUUAAGAGAUUUUUUUUCCCCACAUUAAAAAAUGGGAAACAUUUUUACAAGGGAAUGAAUUUGGUCUCUGUUUGAUAACACAUUAGGCAGUCUGACAAGGGAACAAUUAAAUGAGAGAAUAAUUAAUGUUGAUGGGAUGUAUGUAACAUCAAUUAUCAAUAUUAUUUGUUUAAUCACUUUUAAUUUAUAUUAAAAAGGUCAGUCAAUUUCAGAGCCAAGAUAAAAGCUUUAGAAAAACCUGUUAAAAUGAAUUAUAGAGAAAUUCAGAUCUAGACAGGAGAAUUUAAAGGUGAAAUUAUUUCAGGAUUGAAUUAUAUGGUUACAGAAAGACAGUCUGUUUUCAAACAACCAAACUUAAUCUAUCCAGUAACUUUACAGGAACUACCUGCUCAAGGGCAUGUAUAAGCUAAUUGGACUCCAGUGGAAAUGUUAGAUUUAAGGGGAUUUAAAGAAGCUAUACUCACAUAUGGUAUGCUGCUAUGGGAUAAUGCUUUGUACACUGGUUUAAUAAAACACUGAUUCUCCAUUUGUAAAGUAGAUGUUAAACUCAUGGUCAACUUUUAAUAGAAUUGUCCCUCAGGACUGGAAAGAAUUAGUUACAGCAGUCCUAGAGGCAAGGGUACAAUUACAAUGGAGAACAUGUUUCAAAGAGGAGACUAAAACAAUAGAGCAACAAUGUGAGACUAGAGGUGUGGAAAUUUCCCAGGAUCAGCUUCUUGGUGAAGACAAAUACACUGAUAUAUAAAGACAAUGUUUAUAUGGUAACCAAAUCUUAAUUCUAUGCCACAUGGCAGUCAUGAAAGCAUGGGAUAGAAUUGAGGAAGCAGAAAAGAAAAUUGAAUCAUUUACAAAAGUUAUACAGGGCCCCAGAGCAUCCUUCACAGAUUUCUUACAAAGGCUGUCUUCAGCAGUAAAUAGAAUGAUACCAAAUUCAGAAGCUAGACAGAUAAUAAUUGAAUCUUUUGCUUUUGAGAAUGCGAAUGCAGGAUUCAAAAGAAUAAUCAGGCUGUUAGAAGCAAGAUCAUCACCCUUGGAGGAUUGGAUUAGGGACACAAUUAAUAUUGAGUUUCAUGACCAUGGUGAGAUGUGGAUAGGAGAGGUGAUUUCAAAAGUUUUGAGGAAAAAUAAUAUCAGAUGUUUUGGAUAUGGUAAACAAAGUCAUUUGAAAAGGGAGUAUAAAUAGGGUGUUCCUAGAAAGAAUGAUUAUUCAAGGAAAAAGAGCAACAGAAUGCCCCUCCCUUCUGGAGUAUGCAGAAGGUGUGGUAAGGGUAAACAUUGGACCAACCAAUGGAGAUCAACAAGGGACAGACAAUGUAAUCCUUUGCCUGUGCCCUCAGGAAACUCCCAGAGGGGCCUCAUUCAGGCCCCCAUAGCAAAUUUAGUUCAGACCUUUCCUGCCAUCAUAGAAUAAACCCCUUCUCAGAGCAAUUAAAUAACCAAAUGCCUAUUGAAAUAAACCUGGCUGCUUGGGGUGGUAGACUAGCUGUAGCAGAGAGAAUAGGAAAUUCAGGAGAAACCAUAAAGUGAAUUUUUUGGCAAACUUCUAUAAAUGAGCAAAGAUCAAAAUUAAAAAUACGAAUAAAUGACGUUUUCUUGGGUGGUUUAGUAGACACAGGUGCAGAUGUUACAAUAAUUGCACCAGAAUUUUGGCAUCCAAACUGGCCUCUUCAGAAGGUAAAUGUUCAGCUAGUAUGGAUUGAAACAUUAUCUCAAGUGAAACAGAGCACAAUAUGGCUUGAAUGUAUAGUACCAGAAAGACAGAGAGGAAAAUUAAAGCAAUAUGUAGCUAAUAUAACCAUGAAUUUAUGGGGCCACAAUCUAUUACAACAAUAGAAUACUCAUAUUAACAUUCCUCCAACCUCAGAAACAAAUCAUAAACUAACGCAUGUUUCUGAGAGAAAUAUUAGGAGGUAUUAUUAUUAUAAAGAGCAGUAACCAAACAUCCAGAUUGUACAAGAACAAGGUACAACAACUGCUGAUCUUUCAAAAACACCAGCAGCUCUACCUUUAAAAUGGUUAACAGACAAGCCUAUGUGGGUUCAGCAAUGGCCUUUAACAACAGAGAAACUGCAGGUUUUCACCAGCCCUUGGAAUUCUCCUGUAUUUGUUAUUAAAAAGAAAUCUUGUAAAUGGAGAAUGGUAACAGACCUAAGAACAAUUAACAAAGUAAUUCAGCCUAUGGGCUCUCUACAAUCUGGAAUUACUUUGUCUACUCUGUUACCUAAAGGGCAGUCUCUUAUAGUUAUUGAUUUAAAAUACUGUUUCUUUUCAAUACCCUUACAAGAAAAGGACAGAGAAAGAUUUGCCUUCACAGUGUCUACUUAUAGUAAUUCUCAGCUGGUUAAGAGAUAUCAAUGGAGGAUUCUCCCACAGGAAAUGUUAUAUAGCCCAACCCUGUGCCAAUAUUUUGUACAACAGCCAUUGGAAGUAAUACAUAAACAAUUUCCUAAAUCUAUAAUUUAUCAUUACAUGAACAAUAUUUUACUAGCUGAUUCAAGUCCAGAUACUUUACAAAGAAUGUUUAAAGAAGUAAAGAAAAUUUUGCCCUGUUGAGGAUUACAAAUUACUCCUGAAAUGAUAAAGAGGAGAUUCUAUUAAUUAUUUAGGAUGUAAAAUAGGUCUACAGAAACUUAGACCCCAAAAGGGGCAAAUUAGGAGAAAUUGAUUACAGACUCUUAAUGACUUUCAGAGAUUAUUCGGAGACAUUUCCCAUCUACAAAGUAUUGCUGGGGUAAAAAAUGAUAAACUGAGUAAUUUGUUCAAAACCUUAGAAGGUAACAAGGACUUAAAUAGUCCAAGAGAAUUAUCAGCUGAAGCUGAGAGAUGAUUGGCCUUGAUGGAAAAGAAAGUACAGGAAGGACAUGUGGAUUGCGUAGAUCCAAAGCUUGACCGCAUUUUGGUUAUUUUACCCUCUAAGCAUUCUCCUACAGUAAUUUUAAUGCAGAAGGAAGAUAUUACAUUGGAAUGUAUUUUUCUACCAAAUAAACAGAGUAAAAAAUUAAAAAUUUAUGUGGAAAAGAUCUCUGACUUGAUUUUAAAAGGAAAAUUGUGACUUUGUCAAUUAGCAGGAAUAGACCCAGCAGAAAUCGUCAUACUUUUAACUAAGGAUGAAAUUGAAAAAUAAUGGGAAGAAACUGAACCUUGGCAAAGAGCUUGCAGUAAUUUUUUGAGAGAGAUUAACAGCAAACAUCUCAAAAGUGAUAGAAUUCAACUUAUAAAGAGAUCUGAUUGGAUUCUGCCUCAAAUUGUUCAGGAAACACCUAUAUCUGAAGCCCAUACAUUUUAUAGAGAUGCAAACAAACAAGGAAAGGCAGGUUACAAAUCAGAAAAUUUAAGUAAAAUGGCUCAAAGUCCUUAUAAUUUGGUUCAAAAAUCAGAAUUGUAUGGUAUUCUAUUGGUAUUAAUGGAUUUUUCUGAACCUCUCAACGUAGUUACUGACUAUGCUAAAAGAGUGGUAUUACAUAUUGAGACUGCAGAAUUUAUUCCUAAUGAGUUAGAAUCAACUUUAUUAUUUAUUCAGUUACAAGAUAUAAUAAGGAAUGGGCAGCAUCAUUUAUAUAUAACUCACAUCCAAUCCCAUAUGGGUCUGCCGGCCCUCUAGUACAAGGUAAUGAUGAGAUUGAUAAAUUAUUGAUAGGAAAUGUGCUGGAGGCCUCAGAAUUUCAUAAAAAAACAUCAUGCCAGUAGUAAAGGCUUAAAAAACGGUUUUUCCAUAACCUGGCAACAAGCCAAGGAAAUGUCCUACUUGUUCCUUUUACAAUCUGACAUCAUUACCAGCAGGAUGUAACCCAAAGGGUACUCAGAGGAAUGAAAUCUGGCAGAUGGAUGUGUUUCACUUUGCAGAAUAUGGGAAACUGAAAUAUAUACACCAUACCAUUGAUACUUAUUCAGGAUUUCAAUGGGCAACUGCUUUGGGUUCUGAAAAAGCUGAUUCUGUAAUCAUUCAUUUGCCAGAAGUUAUGGCCAUCAUGGGUAUACCUGCACAAAUUAAAACUGAAAAUGCUCCAUCAUAUGUCUCUGUUAAAAUGAAACAGUUUGCUUAUACAAUAUAAAGCAUAUUACAGGUAUACCACAUAUUCCUACAGGCCAAGCAGUCAUAGAAAAAUAAAAUCAAACUCUAAAGGACAUGCUAAAUAAACAGAAGGGGGUAACAAAACCCCCCAGAAAUAGAUUACAUAAUGCUCUAUUAACUUUGAAUUUCUCAGUGCUAAUGAGAAAGGAACAACAGCUGCAGAGAGACAUUGAAUAAUAGAAAAAACUACAGAAUUAAAUCAGCCUAUCUAUUUUAAAGAUGUGCUGACCUCAGAAUGGAAACCAGGAUAUGUGUUACGUUGGGGACAAGAUUUUGCUUUUGUUUCUACAGGAGAAGAUAAGCUGUGGAUACUAUCAAAAUUGAUAAAGGUCCAAUUUGAACAAGAGAGACUUCUUAAUUAGAAGUGGUGAUAGUUCAUCAACCAGCAUGACCAUCCAAUUUAAACUAGUUUAUACCUCUAACAAAUGCUUUUCAUUUAAUCAGAUAUAACUUACCAGAAGGGAACCUACCCAAAGUUAGGCUUGGGGAAGGGUUUUUGUUUUUGUCUUUCAGGAGAAUGAAGGCUAAGGAAUCUGAAGAACACUGGACAAAUGAGAUAUCUGAAUAAAAAAGGACAAAUCAUCCAGAAAAAAUAUGCCAAGAAAAAGAGUAAAUUGGCCUAUUGGUAUAUUACCUAUAAAAUUUCGAUCCCCUAAAGAUGCCUUCACCCACAGCAGGAAGUAAUUUUUUUUUUCCCCGGGGAAAGAUAACCUUUUAUUGGAUCCAGCAUGGAGAAGCGAGCUGCAAAAGAGAAAGGCCUUCAAAGCCACUCAGCCUAAUUUUAACAAUGCUGUGGAGAAACUGCAACUCUUCUAUUCUGACUCUCUCCCUGAGACAUUGAGAAGCAUGCCUUAGGUUUGCCAUCCAAGGUUCACAACCGAUGAAAUUUAGGUAAUGUCCUAAAUCUCAAUACAGGAGACAUUGCAGUUUCCUGUGCUGCACAGAUUAUACCUAUUAGUGAUUAGCUGGAGUUACAAAUAAUGCAUCGGUAUUGCAUUAAGAAAAGAACUAAAGCCCUUCCCCUUGAAGUCAUUUAACUAAGAGUGAGUCUAGAUUUGAGUUUUCUACUUCAUUUCCCUGGGUCUUCCUUCCUGUGUCUGUUGCAUGAGUCUAAAUCUCCACCUGCCUGAAGGUUGUCUUGUGAAUCUAUUUGUCCCUGAGUCUGUGUCUUCUGUCUGUAUGUGUCUGUCUGUUUCUGUCUGUGUGAUUGUAUGCAUCUCUAUGACUAUUUGUUGUGUCUGUGUGAGUCUGUCUGUGAGUGGUACGACUGUCAGUGUGUGUUGAUUGUAUGUGUCUGUGUGUAUAUGUAUGUGUCUCUGUGUGUUAAUGGUGUCUGUCCCUAACAAGAGGCUUUGCUCUGUCUUUAUUGAACAGCACAGAAUGCAUCACAUGGGGGAAGGAAUGCUAUACUUUACAAAAAUCUUUAACAGAAUUUUACAAGGGAUUAAGUCACUGGCUCCAACUGAUCCCAGCUGACCCAGAUAAUAAGCAUCAUCGUUUAUCAACCAAUAUCUGUACAUGAAUGCUCUCAACUAUCAUGGUAAAUUUUAGGAAGUUGCUUUCAACUUCUCUAUUUGCUGCUUUCAGCAAACGAUGCACAUGUAACUCUGAGUGAGGGGUAUGGAACGGUAUGGAACUUAAGAUUGCAGUUAUGCACUAACUUAGGUUGUAAAAGUUCAUCACAUGGGAAAUCCAAGGCAAAUAAGAUUGGUUGUUGCAUUCUUCUCUUAAAAGCAGAUUAAACAAAGAGUUGGAAUACCCAGUAUGAUAGCAGUCUUAAGUGACCUCAGGGUGUGUUACUAACUUUGGCUGUGAGGUCCCCAAUCUCUUAGAAUGUAAGAGAUGCUUACAGAAUAUUGCCCUUUCUGACACCAUCAUUAGCUUCCCUGCAUGUGGGCAUUACCAUUGGAAGAAUCUGAUUCAUACUUUCUUUUGAGUUGAUUCUUUUUAUCCCAUGAUGCCACAAAAGAAAAACAAAGAUCUACCAAACUCUUGAAUAUGCAACAUCUGAAUGUAUGUUUUCCUUUAAUAUCCACAUUGAGUGCUUAAGUGGGCUUCCCACCGUGCUUUGCUGAAAUUCUUCAUGUUAAUAUUACAAUACCAAAAGAUAAAUGUGGUUUUACAGAUGACACAGAUCUCAUACAUUUCCAGACGUCACCUGGCUCAUUUGCUGCACAGUAGAAGUACAAGGGUAAAGCUCUGCAUUCUAACUCCUGUCACUAAAUAGCUCGUCACUGCACUCAUUGCUCAAGGUGAUGCUGGAAACACUAGCUUUAGUGACAAGACCUGAGCACCUGCAGCCUUACCUUUUAAUCCAAUCCAGUCUUCCAUUUUGAUGAAUUCCCACUUCACUGAUCAACACCUGCAUUAUGCUGUGCUUGAAAAGGAAGCUGGUUUUCUUGGGAGCAGAUGAAACAGAGUUCAAGUAAGCCUUACCCCAUGAAAACUAUGGUUGUCUCAGUAACUCUGUGCAUUUGUAUGGUCAAUCAAUUUACAAUGCACCUCUAGAAAGUUCAAAGACUCAGUCAAGUACCCUAAUCUUGGAGUCCACAGUUCAUUAUUUAGUCAAGUAUUGGAUGAAUGGAUGGAUGGAUGGAUAUGAUAAAUGGAAUUGAAUGGCUAUAUUGAUAGGAUGAAAUGGAUGAGUGUGUGGGAUGGACAUAUAUAUUUAUAGAUGGAAUAGAUGAACAAAUUAACAGGGACAUCAUAAUGCAGAAACAAGAGUUCUUAGUAUAAGAUCCUUUUCUUCUGUGUCAUGCUUUAACCAACUAUAUUUCUGGCACUAGUCCAUUCCUGAUGCUGACUGCCACCUUAGUUACUAAACUCAUAAUAUAUCCAGCUCUAAAAGCUUGGGUUUAUCCCUGGUAAACAGCCUGGUCCAUCUGGAAGCUUGUCAUUAGUUUAAGAAAUGAACUUUACUUUCCUUGCAUGGUAUAUAUCUAUAUUCCUCUCUCUGUUGCUAGCCCAAAGAGCAUCAGAAAAUAGGGAACCAGCUUUUGUGCUUCAAAUAUAAGAUAAGCAUUCCGACUUCUUAACCACAGAAGAUGAUUAUGCUGCGCUAUUACUUCCAUUCACAUAGCCCCGACUGUUUGUCAGGGGACUAGAAUGGGCUCCUGAAACAGUUUACACUGCCAUCCUGAGAGACAACAGGAAGACACAACAAUGCUUGAACUUCAGCUGGGGAAGAAGGAUCAUAUUCCCUGGAGGGUUCAUCAAAAACACAGGUGUCUGGACUGAGGACCUCUUCUCUAGGCACUCCGACGUGAGACCAGAAAAAAAAUAACAAAAAACAAACCUCACGGAACCUUCUCAAGCACAAACAAUGCUUGCCUCCUGCUGGUUGUCAUAAAAGAUCUUGACUCAGAUCUUCUCUGUAUUCUGGCAGAUUAUUAUAUCACUUUAAAAAUCUGAAACACUUGCAUGAUAGUUUUCCAUUCCAGUGCCAUGAACUGUCUUGUAAGCAUUCUUUCCACUUGAAAUUUGCAGAUGUCACUUCCCCUCUACAUGACCCUGUUUCCCUGGCACCUACUCUCCCUGUCUACGUUGAUAAAUUCACCUUCACUGAGUUCCUUGGGCUUCACAUUCAGGAUCUCUCACAGCUUGCUGACGUUCACACUCCUCUAGAAAGGAUUUCCUUUCUAGUUUCAUAUAUAUUGUUUGAAUUUCACUUCCAGUGUUUUUCCUUUUCAUUUCCCUCCUUUACUGUUAGCUUUAUUGACUGAGUGGCUCCUCUGACUAUUACCUAGAAAAUGGAUAAUUUUAUCCAUUUCUAUAAAAUGUCACUCAGCUCUAUCAAUGAGAGACAAACGGCAACAGGUUACCUGCACCCCGUUGUCUGCACAUACUUUUAAUACCAAGCACACUGUGACCAAUCACCAAGAGGCUGUGAGAGAAGUGACGCGAUUGGUUAAUAUACAGUUUGCAGCUGUUGUUUAUGUCAUCACUAAUCAGGAAAAAGGAUUGGGCUAAAUGUGAUGACAGCAGCUUUUCUGUGGCUACUGGACUAUGGACCAUGCUGGUGGAGAUGUGAUGACAGCAGCUUUUCUGUGGCUACUGGACUAUGGACCAUGCUGGUGGAGAUGUGAUGACAGCAGCUUUUCUGUGGCUACUGGACUAUGGACCAUGCUGGUGAAGAUGUGAUGACAGCAGCUCUCCUGUAGCUACUAGACUAUGGACCAUGCUGGUGGAGAUGUGAUGACAGCAGCUUUUCUGUGGCUACUGGACUAAGGACCGUGCUGGUGGAGGGCUCCUGUUAUUAGCCAGCAUGUGAUCACUGAUAACUGGAAGUUGGUCACAUGCAAAGCAAAGACUACCUGCACUGUAAUGUUUUAAUCUGUAACAUCCAGAUAGUCUAAAAGAUGGCAUUUUCAACCAAGGGGCUGAGGCAGGAGAAAUCCAAUUUGAGGCCAUCCUGGACUAUAUAGGAGAAGGCUGUCUCAUAAAGAGAGAGAAAAAAAGGUGUGGUCCUUUGGAUGAGAAAUGUCCCACAUAGGUUUGUGUAUUUGAAUACUUGAUGCCAAGCUGCUGGUGCUGUUUGCCAAGGUUAUGGAAUCUUUAUGAGUUCUCUAAUGGAGCUCCAGAAUGAAAGAGGUAGUUGAACCUCCAUUACCAGCCUAUUCUAGUCAUUUCUCUGUCGCAUCAUAAGUAAUUGCUUAACUAACAUCUGUGUAAGAGAUUUUGGCCAAAACAAUGGAACAUUUCUUCAGCAAAGUCACUUCAUUUCCUGGAACAUUACAGAUUAUAAAGAGGAGAACAACUGUUGAAGUACACUUUUGGCAAGAAAGAGUAUCUGACACUAGAGGGAGGGACCAGAAAUGAUACAUCAUCCGAUGCAAGCAUUCAAAGGGCAUAUCUCCCUUGAUUGGUGCUCUCAGCUUUGAUUUCCUUCCUCUGGCAUGAGAGCUUUCCCUGUGCUGAUGUUUCCAUAAAUGCAGAAGACAGCAAGAUCUUCAACCUUCACCAUCAUUGGGUUUGAAUCAUUUCUGGAAGUUGGCAGGGGUCUCCAAUAUGGGGAACACUCUCUUUCUUUAUGACCUCCUGUAUCUCAAAGGACAGUCAGCACUUUCCCCUCAGGCAAGGAGUGCUUCUAUGUGUCUGUGACGUAUUGGAUCCUAAGACUCAGGGAUCAAUAAUAUCUCAAUUUGGGAUGUAUUUUUGCGAUGUGAAUGUCAUCCAUUUCCAGCUAAACUCACAGAUUCAUCUUAAUCUCACUAGAAGAGAGACAGCCAGGUAUAAUGCAUCUCCCAAGACAAGAGAGUUCUACCCUUCCAAAGGAAAGAGCCUUGCGUAUAUAGUUAAUACACAUGCAUGCACAUGCACACACAAGCAUACGCAUGCACACACACAUACAUGGACAGAAUUAGACUAAGCCUUUACAGUUAACCACUACAUUAUAAGAAAAAAGGUCACUCACACACAUACACAUAUAUAUACAUACACACAUAUAUAUACAUAUAUAUACAUACAUAUAUAUAUCAGCAUGAAAGUGCCAUUUCAGACUUGAAAACUUUCAGUGAAUUGGUCUCCAUGACAAAUAAACUACAAAGAAAUAAAAUUGUCAGGGAAGAAAUGAGGAACCUCCAGAAUAAAGGAGGCUUAAGGACAACAUCAAGUUGACCGAGGAUAUAAUGCGAUUGAUAGAACACUCUCCUGGAACAGUGAGGCUUUGUAUUUAAUUCCUAGUCAUCAUUAAGUAAUUGCAUUGUGUAAACCCUUUUGAGAUCUUGAUUUCAAUGAACUAACUAUACUCUUUUAAGGAGAAAAAUAAAACACACACACACAUACAGUUGAAAAUUUUUGAAUGCUGACUAGACACAUUAAUAGUUUUAAGGAAUUCCAAUGUUUUAUAUAAUUAUUUUUAAACAAUUCUUAUAUUUUAGAAAUAAUGAAAUACAGACAUCAAAA